RNAcentral lists this ribosomal RNA (408 nucleotides) under uncultured bacterium. Its description in RNAcentral is "partial 16S ribosomal RNA". It matches the Rfam family "Bacterial small subunit ribosomal RNA", at positions 28 to 526 of the family's 1533-position model. The record is from RNAcentral.
GACGAACGCUGGCGGCGUGCUUAACACAUGCAAGUCGAACGAAGUGGCGAACGGGUGAGUAACGCGUAAUCAACCUGCCCUUCAGAGGGGGAUUACAGUUGGAAUCGACUGCUAAUACCGCAUACUGAAGGAGGGGAUUGCGUCUGAUUAGCUAGUUGGAGGGGUAACGGCCCACCAAGGCGAUGAUCAGUAGCCGGGCUGAGGGGAUGAACGGCCCAAUUGGGACUGGGACACUGCCCAGACGCCUACGGGAGGCAGGAGGGGGGAAUCUUCCGAAAUGGACGAAAGUCUGACGGAGCAACGCCGCGUGAGUGAUGAUGGCCUUCGGGUUGUAAAGCUCUGUUAAUCGGGACGCGGUACCGGAAUAGAAAGCCACGGCUAACUACGUGCCAGCAGCCGCGGUAAUAC